RNAcentral lists this long non-coding RNA (668 nucleotides) under Nicotiana tabacum (common tobacco). RNAcentral describes it as "long non-coding RNA (NTAB_LNC017073)". The record is from RNAcentral. Lineage: Eukaryota; Viridiplantae; Streptophyta; Magnoliopsida; Solanales; Solanaceae.
CAACUAGGGAGUGGUGACCCUACGUUGGAAAAGGCGACGAGGGAGUGGAGACCCUAUGUCUAAAAUAAUAUCAACUAGGUAGUGAAGACCCUAUUUUGGAAUAGAGACUAAGGAUUGGAGAACCUAUGUCUAAAAUAACAUCAACUAGGGAGUGGAGACCCUAUGUUGGAAAAGAAACUAGGGGGUGGAGACCUUAUGUGUAAAAAAUAAAAAUCAACUAUGGAGUGAAGAUCCUAUGUUGGAAAAGGCGACUAGGGAGUUGUGACCCUAAGCCAAAAAUAACAUCAACUAGGGAGUGGAGACCCUAUGUUGGAAAAGAGACUAGGGAUUGGAGAUCCUAUGUCUAAAAUAACAUCAACUAGGGAGUGGUGACCCUAUGUUUGAAAAGAGACUAUGGAGUGGAGACUCUAUGUCUAAAAUAACAUCAACUAGAUUGUGGAGAAACUAUGUUGGAAAAGAGACUAGGAAUUGGAGACCCUAUGUUUAAAAUAACAUCAACUAGGGAGUGGAGACCCUAUGUUGGAAAAGAGACUAGGGAGUGGAGACCCUAUGUAUAAAAUAACAUCAACUAGGGAGUAGAGACCCUAUGUCGGAAAAGAGACUAGGCAGUGGAGACCCUAUGUCCAAACUAAGAUCAACUAGGGAGUGGAGACCCUAUGUUGGAAAAG